Long non-coding RNA from Oreochromis niloticus (Nile tilapia), 515 nucleotides. RefSeq lists it as uncharacterized. The record is from RefSeq and is a predicted model, not a curated record. Lineage: Eukaryota; Metazoa; Chordata; Actinopteri; Cichliformes; Cichlidae. The transcript is spliced from 3 exons.
GCGCGCGUUUGCACUGUGAGGGAGCUGCAAUUGUGGUACCAUCAGAAGACACCUGUUGAAUGUGUUUUAUGUCUUCUGCAGGCACGUUUGCACUGUGCAGAAUAAACCGUGAACAGCCAACCCUACUGAGCGUCUGUGAUUUGUGAAGAACGGAAGCGUUACACUUCCUACGGCGGACAGCUAACAACAGGAAUCGGACGCGCGGUCCACCCUAGUCCACAGCAACCACCAAGCAACAGCCUAGCAUGUCUUUAAAACACAUUCUUUAUUCAUAACUAUCAAAAACGUGAAAUUAUUUGUAAAGUGUGAAAGUGUUACAGCUGCAGAGAGCUAUGGCGGUAUCUUUGGAAGCUGUUUACAUAGCUAAUAAUAUACGAUGUAACCAUGGAGACAGUCAGUGACGUGAGCUAGCGGUGCACGUUUACUACAGUGAUUAAGGUGAUUGUGUGCACAGCGUCCACACGCUGCAGAGGGUAAAGACAUUACUUCAGUAUUGUUUUAUAUUUAUAUAUAUU